RNAcentral lists this ribosomal RNA (446 nucleotides) under uncultured bacterium. Its description in RNAcentral is "partial 16S ribosomal RNA". It matches the Rfam family "Bacterial small subunit ribosomal RNA", at positions 330 to 792 of the family's 1533-position model. The record is from RNAcentral.
UCCAGACUCCUACGGGAGGCAGCAGUGGGGGAUAUUGCACAAUGGGGGGAACCCUGAUGCAGCGACGCCGCGUGGGUGAAGGAGCGUUUCGGCGCGUAAAGCCCUAUCGGCAGGGAAGAAGGAGGACGGUACCUGACUAAGAAGCCCCGGCUAACUACGUGCCAGCAGCCGCGGUAAUACGUAGGGGGCAAGCGUUAUCCGGAUUUACUGGGUGUAAAGGGGGCGCAGUCGGCAGCGCAAGCCAGGAGUGAAAGCCCGGGGCCCAACCCCGGGACUGCUCUUGGAACUGCGCGGCUGGAGUGCAGGAGGGGCAGGCGGAAUUCCUGGUGUAGCGGUGAAAUGCGUAGAUAUCAGGAGGAACACCGGUGGCGAAGGCGGCCUGCUGGACUGCGACUGACGUUGAGGCCCGAAAGCGUGGGGAGCAAACAGGAUUAGAUACCCUAGUA